Molecule: ribosomal RNA, 1672 nt
Filed under: Escherichia coli
Lineage: Bacteria; Pseudomonadati; Pseudomonadota; Gammaproteobacteria; Enterobacterales; Enterobacteriaceae
Description: partial 23S ribosomal RNA
Rfam family: Bacterial large subunit ribosomal RNA
Source: RNAcentral
CGAAUGCUGACAUAAGUAACGAUAAAGCGGGUGAAAAGCCCGCUCGCCGGAAGACCAAGGGUUCCUGUCCAACGUUAAUCGGGGCAGGGUGAGUCGACCCCUAAGGCGAGGCCGAAAGGCGUAGUCGAUGGGAAACAGGUUAAUAUUCCUGUACUUGGUGUUACUGCGAAGGGGGGACGGAGAAGGCUAUGUUGGCCGGGCGACGGUUGUCCCGGUUUAAGCGUGUAGGCUGGUUUUCCAGGCAAAUCCGGAAAAUCAAGGCUGAGGCGUGAUGACGAGGCACUACGGUGCUGAAGCAACAAAUGCCCUGCUUCCAGGAAAAGCCUCUAAGCAUCAGGUAACAUCAAAUCGUACCCCAAACCGACACAGGUGGUCAGGUAGAGAAUACCAAGGCGCUUGAGAGAACUCGGGUGAAGGAACUAGGCAAAAUGGUGCCGUAACUUCGGGAGAAGGCACGCUGAUAUGUAGGUGAAGUCCCUCGCGGAUGGAGCUGAAAUCAGUCGAAGAUACCAGCUGGCUGCAACUGUUUAUUAAAAACACAGCACUGUGCAAACACGAAAGUGGACGUAUACGGUGUGACGCCUGCCCGGUGCCGGAAGGUUAAUUGAUGGGGUCAGCGCAAGCGAAGCUCUUGAUCGAAGCCCCGGUAAACGGCGGCCGUAACUAUAACGGUCCUAAGGUAGCGAAAUUCCUUGUCGGGUAAGUUCCGACCUGCACGAAUGGCGUAAUGAUGGCCAGGCUGUCUCCACCCGAGACUCAGUGAAAUUGAACUCGCUGUGAAGAUGCAGUGUACCCGCGGCAAGACGGAAAGACCCCGUGAACCUUUACUAUAGCUUGACACUGAACAUUGAGCCUUGAUGUGUAGGAUAGGUGGGAGGCUUUGAAGUGUGGACGCCAGUCUGCAUGGAGCCGACCUUGAAAUACCACCCUUUAAUGUUUGAUGUUCUAACGUUGACCCGUGAUCCGGGUUGCGGACAGUGUCUGGUGGGUAGUUUGACUGGGGCGGUCUCCUCCUAAAGAGUAACGGAGGAGCACGAAGGUUGGCUAAUCCUGGUCGGACAUCAGGAGGUUAGUGCAAUGGCAUAAGCCAGCUUGACUGCGAGCGUGACGGCGCGAGCAGGUGCGAAAGCAGGUCAUAGUGAUCCGGUGGUUCUGAAUGGAAGGGCCAUCGCUCAACGGAUAAAAGGUACUCCGGGGAUAACAGGCUGAUACCGCCCAAGAGUUCAUAUCGACGGCGGUGUUUGGCACCUCGAUGUCGGCUCAUCACAUCCUGGGGCUGAAGUAGGUCCCAAGGGUAUGGCUGUUCGCCAUUUAAAGUGGUACGCGAGCUGGGUUUAGAACGUCGUGAGACAGUUCGGUCCCUAUCUGCCGUGGGCGCUGGAGAACUGAGGGGGGCUGCUCCUAGUACGAGAGGACCGGAGUGGACGCAUCACUGGUGUUCGGGUUGUCAUGCCAAUGGCACUGCCCGGUAGCUAAAUGCGGAAGAGAUAAGUGCUGAAAGCAUCUAAGCACGAAACUUGCCCCGAGAUGAGUUCUCCCUGACCCUUUAAGGGUCCUGAAGGAACGUUGAAGACGACGACGUUGAUAGGCCGGGUGUGUAAGCGCAGCGAUGCGUUGAGCUAACCGGUACUAAUGAACCGUGAGGCUUAACCUUACAACGCCGAAGGUGUUU